UCUCUUUCACAUCCCGGGGAAAAUGCCUAUAUAGACUUUGCCGGUCCGCCGGCUACGGCGAUAAACGAUGCGUGGAAUAAACGUUGUGGACCCGGGGGCGGUACCCGGCGCCUCCACCAUUAUCUGGGCGGCCUGAUUCAGACUUCGCGGUUUACGCCGCUUCGUCAUCAGGGCGCCUGGUUCCGGGUGUUACGGAGCGGCGGUGUCGCGACGUUGGACCUGGAGAUAUGGGGGCGAAAUAGGCUCGACACGCGUGGUAAAGACCCAUCUUUCGCUCGGCAUGGUUCCGCCGUUAUCGGGCUAUAUCUUAAAUGCGAACGAUAACAACGUUGCAUUCGCGGUCGCUGCCUAAACAGUAGCUAAGCGCGGUUCGGGGGGCACCGGGCAACAGAAGCCCCCCACU
This 403-nucleotide transfer-messenger RNA is filed under the name Acidocella sp. It matches the Rfam family "Alphaproteobacteria transfer-messenger RNA". From Rfam's summary of the family: Bacterial tmRNA, also known as 10Sa RNA or SsrA, is named for its dual tRNA and mRNA-like properties. Its role is to liberate the mRNA from a stalled ribosome. Lineage: Bacteria; Pseudomonadati; Pseudomonadota; Alphaproteobacteria; Acetobacterales; Acidocellaceae. RNAcentral also lists the same sequence under 1 other name. The record is from RNAcentral.